UGAACUGCGGAAGGAUCAUUACCGAGUGUAGGGUUCCUAGCGAGCCCAACCUCCCACCCGUGUUUACUGUACCUUAGUUGCUUCGGCGGGCCCGCCAUUCAUGGCCGCCGGGGGCUCUCAGCCCCGGGCCCGCGCCCGCCGGAGACACCACGAACUCUGUCUGAUCUAGUGAAGUCUGAGUUGAUUGUAUCGCAAUCAGUUAAAACUUUCAACAAUGGAUCUCUUGGUUCCGGCAUCGAUGAAGAACGCAGCGAAAUGCGAUAACUAGUGUGAAUUGCAGAAUUCCGUGAAUCAUCGAGUCUUUGAACGCACAUUGCGCCCCCUGGUAUUCCGGGGGGCAUGCCUGUCCGAGCGUCAUUGCUGCCCAUCAAGCACGGCUUGUGUGUUGGGUCGUCGUCCCCUCUCCGGGGGGGACGGGCCCCAAAGGCAGCGGCGGCACCGCGUCCGAUCCUCGAGCGUAUGGGGCUUUGUCACCCGCUCUGUAGGCCCGGCCGGCGCUUGCCGAACGCAAAUCAAUCUUUUCCAGGUUGACCUCGGAUCAGUAGGAUACC
This 551-nucleotide ribosomal RNA is filed under the name Aspergillus flavus. RNAcentral's name for it is "eukaryotic LSU rRNA". The stretch from base 204 to 357 matches the Rfam family "5.8S ribosomal RNA". Lineage: Eukaryota; Fungi; Ascomycota; Eurotiomycetes; Eurotiales; Aspergillaceae. The record is from RNAcentral.